AUUCAUCUUCAGGGGCAGGGUGUAAUUCCCGACCGGUGGUAAAGUCCACGAGCGAUUAAAAUUGCUGAACUGGUUCGAUUCCAGUACCGACAGUAAAGUCUGGAUAAAGAAGAUGGAG
RNAcentral lists this non-coding RNA (118 nucleotides) under Alkalibacterium sp. 20. Its description in RNAcentral is "FMN riboswitch aptamer (RFN element)". It matches the Rfam family "FMN riboswitch aptamer (RFN element)". From Rfam's summary of the family: The RFN element is a highly conserved domain that is found frequently in the 5'-untranslated regions of prokaryotic mRNAs that encode for flavin mononucleotide (FMN) biosynthesis and transport proteins. The record is from Rfam by way of RNAcentral. Lineage: Bacteria; Bacillati; Bacillota; Bacilli; Lactobacillales; Carnobacteriaceae. RNAcentral also lists the same sequence under 1 other name.